This 75-nucleotide transfer RNA is filed under the name Caldisericia bacterium. RNAcentral describes it as "tRNA-Val". It matches the Rfam family "tRNA". Rfam says of the family: Transfer RNA (tRNA) molecules are approximately 80 nucleotides in length. Their secondary structure includes four short double-helical elements and three loops (D, anti-codon, and T loops). The record is from RNAcentral. Lineage: Bacteria; Pseudomonadati; Caldisericota; Caldisericia.
GGGUGGUUAGUUCAGCGGUAGAACGUCUGCCUUACACGCAGAAAGUCACAGGUUCGAAUCCUGUAUCACCCACCA